AUUGAACGCUGGCGGAAUGCUUUACACAUGCAAGUCGAGCGGCAGCGCGGGGGCAACCCUGGCGGCGAGCGGCGAACGGGUGAGUAAUACAUCGGAACGUGUCCUUAAGUGGGGGAUAGCUCGGCGAAAGCCGGAUUAAUACCGCAUAAGCUCUGAGGAGGAAAGCGGGGGCUCCGUAAGGACCUCGCGCUGUUGGAGCGGCCGAUGUCGGAUUAGCUAGUUGGUGGGGUAAAGGCCCACCAAGGCGACGAUCCGUAGCUGGUCUGAGAGGACGAUCAGCCACACUGGAACUGAGACACGGUCCAGACUCCUACGGGAGGCAGCAGUGGGGAAUUUUGGACAAUGGGGGCAACCCUGAUCCAGCCAUUCCGCGUGAGUGAGGAAGGCCUCGG
This 392-nucleotide ribosomal RNA is filed under the name uncultured bacterium. RNAcentral describes it as "bacterial SSU rRNA". It matches the Rfam family "Bacterial small subunit ribosomal RNA", at positions 29 to 420 of the family's 1533-position model. The record is from RNAcentral.